This 253-nucleotide ribosomal RNA is filed under the name uncultured bacterium. Its description in RNAcentral is "partial 16S ribosomal RNA". It matches the Rfam family "Bacterial small subunit ribosomal RNA", at positions 524 to 776 of the family's 1533-position model. The record is from RNAcentral.
UACGUAGGGUGCAAGCGUUAAUCGGAAUUACUGGGCGUAAAGCGUGCGCAGGCGGUUUUGUAAGCCAGAUGUGAAAGCCCCGGGCUCAACCUGGGAAUGGCAUUUGGGACUGCAAGGCUUGAGUGCGGCAGAGGGGGAUGGAAUUCCGCGUGUAGCAGUGAAAUGCGUAGAUAUGCGGAGGAACACCGAUGGCGAAGGCAAUCCCCUGGGCCUGCACUGACGCUCAUGCACGAAAGCGUGGGGAGCAAACAGG